Molecule: long non-coding RNA, 309 nt
Organism: Micropterus salmoides (largemouth bass)
Lineage: Eukaryota; Metazoa; Chordata; Actinopteri; Centrarchiformes; Centrarchidae
Exons: 3
Source: RefSeq, a predicted model, not a curated record
ACCACUCCUCUGGUUUGUAAAAACGGUGGGAUAUCACUGAAUGGUGUCUGUAUCUGUCCUGAUGAAUGGACCGGAGCAACAUGCUCAGUAGGAAAUUUCUGUGAAGCAGAUAAGCUCAAUGGAUACCUGUUCCCGCGCACACCCAUCGGCUGGUUUGCAUAUUCUGAGCAAAAAUGUCCCAAAGGAACAAGUGGUGCUGGUAAACCACGGGCUUCGACUAGAUGUUCCAUGAAGAACGGAACACUGAGUUUCGACCGUCCACCACAGGUGCUCCAGUGUGACCAGACGCUCAGUGACAUACAACAAAAU